Molecule: long non-coding RNA, 572 nt
Organism: Zalophus californianus (California sea lion)
Lineage: Eukaryota; Metazoa; Chordata; Mammalia; Carnivora; Otariidae
Exons: 2
Source: RefSeq, a predicted model, not a curated record
UUGAGUGCAUUUUUCACAGAGAAAUGAAGGCCCUUUGAAGAGAGGGCCAAGCCUGCCUGCACUGCGAAGGGCUCGAAGGCCCUCGGGUGCUACAGCAGGGACAGUGCCUGGAGGCUGCUGGCCUGAGGCUGGCUCUCACCCACUUCCAAGGGGGCGUCCUCUCUGCCAAGCACCAUGACAAGAGGGGACAGCUGCAGCUCCCCUCCUUGAGCUAUAAAAAGCCCCAACACCCGAGUGAGCAGAUACACGAACUUUGCUGGACUCCAGGAGGAGCUCGGCUCAACUACCAUGCUGAGAUUAGCCUGUACCACCAGGCUGCUGCAGGCCCCUCUGGGGGGCUGGGUGGUUCCCAAGGUGCACAUCUCUGCCAAGCCAGCCCGGACGCCCACUUCUCCCAUGGAGCAAGCCACUGGGCUCUCUGUGCUGUUCCUCAGCUUCCUGAUUCCUGCAGGCUGGGUCUUAGCCCACCUGGACAGCUACAAGAGAAGCUCUGCAGCAUGAAGGCUCCGCAGCUUGGGCUCCAGGCACAGGGCCAACGGCCCCAUUAAACCCCUCCCUCCACCCAGUGUUCA